Gasterosteus aculeatus aculeatus (three-spined stickleback) is the source of this 4267-nucleotide long non-coding RNA. Lineage: Eukaryota; Metazoa; Chordata; Actinopteri; Perciformes; Gasterosteidae. The record is from Ensembl.
UGGUUUCCAGCCCGUUUUCAGUUGCAUUCCCAGAAGAUGCAUCUUUGUUUGCAUUUGACCCCUCACACGAUGAUUCUAAAUGUUCCAACUGCUUCGUUUUGUUGCCUGUUCGGGGGGGGGGGGGGGGGGGGGCACAUACUGUGUACGGUCUGAAUGCCAUGCUGUCGUUGGGCAUCUCAGCGAAGGAGGAAAUAAAUGAGCGUUGUCUUUUUUUUAACACCUGGGUGCUUCGAUGGUGUUCGAGCAUUCACAGCGUCAGAUCUUCAUUAUCCAGCUGACAAAAGCGGUAAAAGCGCAGCGGUGAACCGAAUCCCUCCGGAGUCUCUAUCGUCUCACAUUGCAAAGUGCACUGCACGUUUUCCCUCUGCUUAAACUGUCUGCUGUUGUGCGAAAAUAAAAGAUGAAGAAGUCUCAUGUGAACUUUUGGUGUGAUGUCGCCAUGCGGAGCCCAUUUGAUAGUCGUGCAUUUCAAUAGAUUCAAUCGCGUCAAAUAUUGUGGCUUUUAUUUUGAAUGAAAAGAAAGUUCCAGGCAGAGACAAAGCGCUCUAACAGCUUUAAUUACAAGUCCAUGAUCCUUAUUCCAUGAUUCAUGCAUUUUCCUUUUCAUUUGAAUUUAUUACACGCUAACUCAUGUAAUUGUGAAUUAAUUGCCGGGAUUUGACACCCUAAUUAAACACAACUCGGCGCUCUAAUUUUAAGAUGAAAGAAAAAGUGCGAUCCGCCCUUUGGAUCCGCUGCUUAGUGCAGUUAUUUUUCUUCAGUCGGUGAAACAUUUUAACAAUGAACAGAUUGCUAACUAACCGCUCAUUGUCUCUCAUCAGGGGGGUGAUGGACACUUUUUAGGCCCAAUCAACGAGGAUGCCAUGGGGUCAAAGGUAAGGGUUCAGCGCCGCUAAUGGACGGCGGCCGCGCCCCUUCCAGGCUGCUCACGACCCCUUUCGGCACAACAGGCUCGAUGUGGCUCAUAAUCUAAUAUCCUCCUGGGCUCCUGGGCAGGACUGAGGGGGAAAUGAAUUCCCCACAACAAACUGUCGUUGUUUUCCUCCUAUUUUUACACUGUGCUUGAGUGAGCACAGCCGAAAGCGGCUCCGGGUCCAUUUGCUGGUGCUCCAACUGCUGUUCGAGGCCACCAGAGAUUUAUGUCCACAAAAAGGAAAAAGAACGGGAAAAAAGGCGUCCUGGUCUGUUUAUUCGUUUGAAAUAAGGAGAGAUAAAAGGCAGGUGUGAAGGAGCUGCAUAAAACAUUUGUUUUAUGCAUUCUUGAAUCUGCUAAAUCUUUGCAAAACCAAAGGAGCUAAAUCAAAGAAAGACAAAAUAGAUGGUUUUCUCCAAACGUUACUCUGGAUCCGUAGGUUUGGUACAGACAGGCUUUCUUCAGCAGGACCAAUAAAAGGUAUUUGUCUGUACAUUAAACACUGCAGCUAAAGCUGUUGGCUCUUUUUAAGCUAUAGGUCUAUUCCACAAAACGCAGGAAUUCAUGAACGUGGAUACGGAUUUUCAUUGGAUGGAUGCCGCAUGAAAUUAUAAGCUUCUAAAAGGAAUUUUACCCUCUAAAUACUAAUUUUAUCACAAUCCGAGAGGUCCAGACUGUGUAAUUAGCAAAUCAAGUGUCUUACAACUGUUUCAGCGCGAAGGCCGCAUCAAAGCUCUCCUGAAAAGCAGAUGAGGUUUCCUCCGUCCUCAUCAAUUCCAGCCAAUUUGAAGAGAGAUGAAGGGCCCUCAGAGUUCUGUGACGCUGCCACACCUGGGUGCCUCCAAUCUUCUGCCAGACAUCAGACCGCGGCGGAGGGAAAAUACGGCCGAGCCAUCAUCAUCCCAAAGAGCUACUUGUUGCCGGAGCCCUUCACGGAAAAAAAGUCAAAUAUAAAUAUAUGUGUUGGCCUUUUGAAAGCAAAAACCUCUUUCACUCUGAACCACGAAUACAUAACAGCACUCCCAACUUUCACGGCUGCAUAUAAAUGAUUAAGCUGUGAUUUCAUCAGGAGACAUUAUAUAGUCCCAAUAUCAUCCGCAGAUGUCGUUCCCAGAAGUGCGAAAAGCCUCUCGUCAACGCCUGGUUCCCUCUGUCCGUUUUCUCCAUAGAAAUCGUUACUUUCAUCACACGGUGCUGUUUGCAGCGAGACCCAUGAACCGACCAAAACCAAUUACUUGUUAGUCCGUCUCGCAAUGCUUUCAGACUUCAGGUCUGUUUGUAGGAGCCUCAUGAAAGAUCGAGGACGUAGAAGUAAAACUUAAAUGAAAGUAGUUUUAGCAGAAUGUUCUUACAUUGCACAGAACAUCAACUCUUGAAGGACUCAAUGAGGUGCUACACUGUUAUAAAUGAUUAUUUCAUCACUGAUUCUUGAAUGCAUGUUGCAUUUCACUGUUCUGACAUAUUGGCUGUGGGGAAUCUCAUUUGAUCUUAUGCCGUCAUGGUGGAGUAAAACGUGCAACGAUUCCCUUUUAAAAGCUACAUGAAACGUUCCAAAAGAUGAAAAAUCCAAGAACAGCAUCGAGUUGAUGAAUCUCGUAGACGCGUUCCAACGACUUGUGAAGCCGUGAAGUCGCAGCUGCAAACACUCAUUUGUCAUUUAGCUCAACAUCAAGGCUGCCGUGUUGUUAUCAUCUUGUGUUCGUAGGUUAACAACGCUGGGAUACGGAAGCGCAGGAGGGCCCUUAAACAGCCCCAUAAGUCCUCUUUUUAUUGUUUUGUUUGCUGCACUGAGCUCAUCCGGCCUCGGGGGGAAGACGCGGGAGUCAAACAGCGCGGCUGAGCGUCGAAUCUGCAAAAUCAGUCACAGCUGUUCAGAUCCAAUGAGGCACCCUGAUGACUCCCGUUCCCGUGUCAACGCCGGCCAAUGAUGCUGCGCAGCCUCUUUGUCGAAUCUAAUUUGCGUUUAAAAAUAAUAACUCAAAGCCCCGAGGCGCAGUGUGAAUUCGGUGACAAUUACUUAUGCGUGAGAACAGGACGCUGCUUAUUAUCUUAUAAUGCCACUGUUUCAUGUGUCAACGUCCACACGGCCACACUGGAGAGUAACGGCGUAAAGACAACGAGGAUUAUUGAGUAAAUAAGCAUUAGUUGGAUGUUAUUGGACUCGAUAUGGAACAUUCUUAGUAUCGACACGGAUGCCUCCAUAUGAGAAAAGUCUGUGAUUUUUAGGUUACGAGGUCAUAAAGAGGAUCUAAGCUGUUUGUGAUUAGGGUUAGUUGUUUUUUUUGGCACGAGAUUCAAAACCCACAGCCUCUUUAAUUGGGAUGAAAUGAUUCUCUACUGAUUCUGGAAUCGACUACGUGACAAUCAGUGUUACUUAACGUUUUAAUCACGGGUAAAUUGUUACACUGAAUCGCUGCUUUGUACCAAACAUGGCCCCGAGUCUUGGCUGCUUUAAUAAAGGGUUUAAAAGGGAAAACAAAUUGUGUUUGCAACCAAACAAAACUCUGUAUGAAUGACAAAUACCCAACUUGAAUUCAACCUGCACCCCUUAAAAUGCACUGUAACUUCAGAUCAUUAAGACUUCAUUGCCAGCUGAGCUUUGUUUGCAAGCAAAGCGCCACUUUACAUCCGUUGGACAUAAUUUAGGAUGAUUGACAGCUGUUUUGGGACGAAUCACAUGAGUCACGGAUCGCAGAGGAAAGGAGCAAAUGUGUGAUGGCAGACACAGACUUCAGACUCAGGUAGUCAAAUAUAUCCUUUCACAUUACUGAGAAUAUGGAGAACUAUUUAAGAACAACAACUUCCGCUGCAUAGAAUCCAACUAAUGCUUAUUUACGUGGUAUUCCUUGUUGGCGGGUAACAGCGCUAACGUUGACACAUAAAACAGUGGCAUCAUGAGAUAAUAAGUGACACCUCCUUGUGAGCACUCUCCCAAUUAAUCAUCCCCAAAACUCACACUGAGCCUCAGGCUUUGAGGUGCUAAAUGUGAAUUAGGAUCUGACAAAAACACUGUGCCACAUUAUUAUGAUCAUUAAAUGAUGUCACACGUCUUCGGCGGCACGUUUAUUUUGUAAAUGACUGCUAGUUGUCAGGUGCGAGGACGCACGCGGGACGAGAUUACGGUACCGUAUUUUCCGCACUACGAGGCGCACCUUCAAUGAAUGACCUAUUUUAGAACAUUUUUCAUAUAUAAGGCGCACCGGAUUAUGAGGCGCAUAAGAUACUGCAGUCGAACGUUCGCCACGUCAAAGUGUCCCUGAGCAAGACAGUCAACCCCUAACUGCUCCCCGUGAAAACCAUGGGUUAAAAAUGCAACGUAAGUCGCAUUGGACGAAAGCAUCGUAGUGUCCUAAU